RNAcentral lists this ribosomal RNA (253 nucleotides) under uncultured bacterium. Its description in RNAcentral is "partial 16S ribosomal RNA". It matches the Rfam family "Bacterial small subunit ribosomal RNA", at positions 524 to 776 of the family's 1533-position model. The record is from RNAcentral.
UACAGAGGGUGCGAGCGUUGUCCGGAAUCACUGGGCGUAAAGGGCGCGUAGGUGGCCCGACAAGUCAGUGGUGAAAGCUCGACGCUCAACGUCGAGUCGGCCACUGAUACUGUCGAGCUGGAGCACUGUAGAGGCUAAUGGAAUUCCGGGUGUAGCGGUGGAAUGCGUAGAGAUCCGGAAGAACACCGGUGGCGAAGGCGGUUAGCUGGGCAGUUGCUGACACUGAGGCGCGACAGCGUGGGGAGCAAACAGG